RNAcentral lists this ribosomal RNA (466 nucleotides) under uncultured bacterium. RNAcentral's name for it is "bacterial SSU rRNA". It matches the Rfam family "Bacterial small subunit ribosomal RNA", at positions 330 to 793 of the family's 1533-position model. The record is from RNAcentral.
UCCAGACUCCUACGGGAGGCAGCAGUGAGGAAUAUUGGUCAAUGGUCGCAGGGCUGAACCAGCCAAGUCGCGUGAGGGAUGACGGUCCUAUGGAUUGUAAACCUCUUUUGUCAGGGAGCAAAGGGCGCCACGUGUGGCGCUUCGCGAGUACCUGAAGAAAAAGCAUCGGCUAACUCCGUGCCAGCAGCCGCGGUAAUACGGAGGAUGCGAGCGUUAUCCGGAUUUAUUGGGUUUAAAGGGUGCGCAGGCGGAAUGUCAAGUCAGCGGUAAAAUUUCGGGGCUCAACCCCGUCGUGCCGUUGAAACUGGUUUUCUUGAGUGAGCGAGAAGUAUGCGGAAUGCGUGGUGUAGCGGUGAAAUGCAUAGAUAUCACGCAGAACUCCGAUUGCGAAGGCAGCAUACCGGCGCUCAACUGACGCUCAUGCACGAAAGUGUGGGUAUCGAACAGGAUUAGAUACCCGCGUAAG